GGUGAACGCUGGCGGCGUGCCUAAGACAUGCAAGUCGAGCGGGCCGCGGGGUUUUACUCCGUGGUCAGCGGCGGACGGGUGAGUAACGCGUGGGUGACCUACCCGGAAGAGGGGGACAACCCGGGGAAACUCGGGCUAAUCCCCCAUGUGGACCCGCCCCUUGGGGUGUGUCCAAAGGGCUUUGCCCGCUUCCGGAUGGGCCCGCGUCCCAUCAGCUAGUUGGUGGGGUAAUGGCCCACCAAGGCGACGACGGGUAGCCGGCCUGAGAGGGUGGCCGGCCACAGGGGCACUGAGACACGGGCCUCACUCCUACGGGAGGCAGCAGUUAGGAAUCGUCCGCAAUGGGCGAAAGCCUGACGGAGCGACGCCGCUUGGAGGAAGAAGCCCUGCGGGGUGUAAACUCCUGAACCCGGGACGAAACCCCCGACGAGGGGUCUGACGGUACCGGGGUAAUAGCGCCGGCCAACUCCGUG
This 473-nucleotide ribosomal RNA is filed under the name uncultured bacterium. Its description in RNAcentral is "partial 16S ribosomal RNA". It matches the Rfam family "Bacterial small subunit ribosomal RNA", at positions 28 to 507 of the family's 1533-position model. The record is from RNAcentral.